UAACCGCUGAAAGCAUCUAAGCGGGAAACUUGCCUGAAGAUUAAUCUUCCCGGAGGCUUGACCUCCCUUAAGGGUCGUCCUAGACCAGGACGUUGAUAGGCUGGGUGUGGAAGCGCUGUAAGGCGUUGAGCUAACCAGUACUAAUUGCCCGUGAGGCUUGAUCCUAUAACC
RNAcentral lists this ribosomal RNA (171 nucleotides) under Burkholderiaceae bacterium. Its description in RNAcentral is "partial 23S ribosomal RNA". It matches the Rfam family "Bacterial large subunit ribosomal RNA", at positions 2765 to 2925 of the family's 2925-position model. The record is from RNAcentral. Lineage: Bacteria; Pseudomonadati; Pseudomonadota; Betaproteobacteria; Burkholderiales; Burkholderiaceae.